CCCUUAGAUGUUCUGGGCCGCACGCGCGCUACACUGACGAAUGCAACGAGCUUAUAACCUUGGCCGAAAGGUCUGGGUAAUCUUUGAACGCUGGUCGUGAUGGGGAUAGACUUUUGCAAUUUUUGGUCUUCAACGAGGAAUUCCUAGUAAACGCAAGUCAUCAACUUGCAUUGAUUACGUCCCUGCCCUUUGUACACACCGCCCGUCGCACCUACCGAUUGAAUGGUCCGGUGAAGCCUCCGGAUUGGCGCGCACCUCGGUGCCGCCGAGAAGUUGGCUAAACCUUACCAUUUAGAGGAAGGUGAAGUCGUAACA
RNAcentral lists this ribosomal RNA (315 nucleotides) under uncultured eukaryote. RNAcentral describes it as "partial 18S ribosomal RNA". It matches the Rfam family "Eukaryotic small subunit ribosomal RNA", at positions 1470 to 1796 of the family's 1831-position model. The record is from RNAcentral.